This 520-nucleotide small RNA is filed under the name uncultured Glomus. RNAcentral describes it as "SSU rRNA". It matches the Rfam family "Eukaryotic small subunit ribosomal RNA", at positions 569 to 1089 of the family's 1831-position model. The record is from RNAcentral. Lineage: Eukaryota; Fungi; Glomeromycota; Glomeromycetes; Glomerales; Glomeraceae.
AGCAGCCGCGGUAAUUCCAGCUCCAAUAGCGUAUAUUAAAGUUGUUGCAGUUAAAAAGCUCGUAGUUGAAUUUCGGGGUUAGUAGGUUGGUCAUGCCUCUGGUAUGUACUGGUCUCACUGAUUCCUCCUUCCUGAUGAACCUUAAUGCCAUUAAUUUGGUGUUUUGGGGAAUUUGGACUGUUACUUUGAAAAAAUUUAGAGUGUUUAAAGCAAGCUAACGCUUGAAUACAUUAGCAUGGAAUAAUGAAAUAGGACGUUCGAUCCUAUUUUGUUGGUUUCUAGGAUUGACGUAAUGAUUAAUAGGGAUAGUUGGGGGCAUUAGUAUUCAAUUGUCAGAGGUGAAAUUCUUGGAUUUAUUGAAGACUAACUACUGCGAAAGCAUUUGCCAAGGAUGUUUUCAUUAAUCAAGAACGAAAGUUAGGGGAUCGAAGACGAUCAGAUACCGUCGUAGUCUUAACCAUAAACUAUGCCGACUAGGGAUCGGAUGAUGUUAAUUUUUUAAUGACUCAUUCGGCGCCUU